Molecule: long non-coding RNA, 1560 nt
Organism: Dioscorea cayenensis subsp. rotundata (Guinea yam)
Lineage: Eukaryota; Viridiplantae; Streptophyta; Magnoliopsida; Dioscoreales; Dioscoreaceae
Exons: 4
Source: RefSeq, a predicted model, not a curated record
CGGAUCUUUACCGCACACCCGAAUCCGCAUUUUAUAAAAUAUUAUAGCGCGCUGGUGGAAAGGAAAAAGGAAUGGCGGGAUGCGGGCAAACCCUAGCAUUGAGAAUCCAAAUCUCCAGCGAUCGUACUGAUACUGCUAGAUUCUUUGUGUAAUAUCAAUUCAUUUGCUCGGAAUUCUUCAGCAUAUUGAUGCAAAAUAAUGCAUGGGCUAGUGUUUAAUUGGGAUUGAGGUGGAGAGGUACUGGUGGUGAUCAGGAUCAGACAAUGCAAUGUUAUUUUUGAAUUGGCACAACAGUUGUACUGUUGGAAUUCAUUUGUUUUUCUUUGUGCAAUGGGCGAGUUUGGUGGUUUCGUGGGGACUCACGGUGGUGGUUUUGGAUGCAUGUUAUGUUGAGGACAGAGGGGGUGCUGGAAGUUGAUUUGAUGGUGGUGGAUUUGUUGUAAUGCUGUGAAUAAGCAGCGUCUGGUGUUUUCAUGAAAGUUUGAAGAUGAGCAGCAGUAGGUGUAGCCCUCCAUAAAAGGCUGGCCUCCAUGGGUACGGAAGAUCUGCACAGAGGGCUAUUAUUGCUGUGAUCUUCCAUACAAGACUGGCCCUAAAAGGGAAGGGAAGGUCUACAUUAGAGGUCUUUUGCUACUGCAGUGAUCCACGCAAGACUAGUCCUAAAAGGGCAUGGAAGAUCCACACAGAGGGUUAUUCCUAUUAUGAUGAUCCAUACAGGGGGAUAGAUGGCCCUUUUCCAGACCAGUGGAUUUGUGAAGGACCUGCAAGUGACCUGGAAAAUUUGCGAAGGAAUGCACUAAUGUGGCUGUUAACAAAAAUCAUGAUCUUCCUGGGCACAUUGCAGCUGAGUGCUUUCAAAAGGCUUUGUGCUGGAUUGCAGAGAACCCGGAAACAUAGCGAGCAAUUGGCCCAAUGAAGGCAUAUGCCGCUCUUGUUGCAAACCUGGCCACCAUGCCGGUGACCACUGAGCUCUUGAGCUGCCAACUUAUGAUCUGAGAAUUUGCAAGAAUUGCCAUAACCAAGGGCAUUUUGAUCCAGAUUGCACUAAUGGAAGGCUUGCAACAAUUGCAGUUAAAACCAGGCAUCUUGCUUUUAAACGCGAAAGCGAACCCGUGUGCAACAUCUCUGGGCAUUUUUCCCGGCAGUGCCCAAAGGCUGAUGUUGUCGGAGAAAAUAUCACCUAGCACUAUUGUGGGGCACAUUGCAAUGUGGUUUGUCGGAAUUGUGACCACGUCCGUCACAUGAGCAGGGACUGCAUGGGACCCCGGUAAUCUGCCAUAAUUUUAGUGCUGAUGGUCACCUUGCAUAUGAGUGCCCGUCAGACAGAUUCAUGGACGGCAUGCAUCGAUGGUACUGAGAAUGGUGGAUAUUUGUCACUUGUCAGAAUCAUCUUCUUCAUCCCCUCCAUUCCUUUGUGGGGACUUGAUCUAUACAUUAUAACCAAAAUUGUAUUUGAUCUUUCAUGUUCCACAAUUUUGUUAACAUUUUGUAGCAUUGUUUGAAUCUUUCCAAUAAUUUUUCUUGGUACCAUACCAUGAACUGCAAUUUUUUGAGCACAGG